RNAcentral lists this ribosomal RNA (437 nucleotides) under uncultured Oscillospiraceae bacterium. RNAcentral describes it as "bacterial SSU rRNA". It matches the Rfam family "Bacterial small subunit ribosomal RNA", at positions 341 to 792 of the family's 1533-position model. Lineage: Bacteria; Bacillati; Bacillota; Clostridia; Eubacteriales; Oscillospiraceae. The record is from RNAcentral.
ACGGGAGGCAGCAGUGGGGAAUAUUGGGCAGUGGGCGAAAGCCUGGCCCAGCAAUGCCGCGUGAAGGAAGAAGGUCUUCGGAUUGUAAACUUCUUUUAUGAGGGACGAAGGAAUUGACGGUACCUCAUGAAUAAGCCACGGCCAACUACGUGCCAGCAGCCGCGGUAAUACGUAGGUGGCAAGCGUUAUCCGGAUUUACUGGGUGUAAAGGGCGCGUAGGCGGGGAAGCAAGUCAGAUGUGAAAUCUAUGGGCUUAACUCAUAAACUGCAUUUGAAACUGUUUCUCUUGAGUGCUGGAGAGGUAGAUGGAAUUCCUAGUGUAGCGGUGAAAUGCGUAGAUAUUAGGAAGAACACCAGUGGCGAAGGCGAUCUACUGGACAGUAACUGACGCUGAGGCGCGAAAGCGUGGGGAGCAAACAGGAUUAGAUACCCUGGUA